ACAAUUAGACUCGUACCUCUGUGUCCUUGAGUUCUAAGGAGACAGGAACCUACGUCUGCUGGAUGAACCAUGACCGUGUGAUCAGAGCGUGAUUAACCGCCUGAUGAGCUUGUCUUUGGAGGAAUCUCAUCUUGGGCUGUAGAGGAUCUUUCUUAGACACACUUCCAUGUGCCAAGGAUGAUCACACGGUUGUCUGACAGAUU
Glycine soja is the source of this 203-nucleotide non-coding RNA. NCBI's taxonomy places the organism in Eukaryota, Viridiplantae, Streptophyta, Magnoliopsida, Fabales, Fabaceae. The record is from Rfam.